AUGACGCGGGUGUACGAGUUGGUGUGGCGGAUGCUGCACGCGCUGCCCUGUCUGCACCGCACGUUCACCUCCCGGCUCCGCGUUCGGUUCAGCACCUGGAACUGCAUUGGGCGGCGCUGCAGGCGCGCCGCCUCUGCCGCGGUCCUAGCGCCGCUGGGCUUCACGCUCCGCAAGACCCAAGCGAUUGGCAGGAACCGCCGUUUCCACAGGCACCCGCGCGGGGGGCGGGGGGGGUCGUGCCUGGCCGCCGCCCACCACCGGCUGCGCUGGAGCGAGAACUGCCGUUCCCUGGAGAAGCUGCCUGUGCGCAUGGGCCUGGUGUUCACUGAGGUGGAGCAGGAGCCCAGCUUCUCGGAUAUUGCAAGCCUCGUGGUGUGGUGCAUGGCCGUGGGCAUCUACUACAUUCACGUCUACGACUACCAAGAGACAGGAGCUGGGAUUACAGGCAUUUUCAAAAGAAAUAAUUCCAGAUUGAUGGAUGAAAUUUUAAAACAACAGCAAGAACUUCUGGGCCUAGAUUGUUCAAAAUAUUCACCAGAGUUCGCAAAUAGUAAUGACAAAGAUGAUCAAGUUUCAAAUUGUCAUUUGGCAGUGAAGGUGCUGUCCCCGACAGAUGGAAAAGCAGAUACUGUGAGAGCUGCUCAGGACUUUUGCCAGUUAGUAGCCUAGAAGCAAAAGAGACCCACAAAUUUGGAUGUAGAUAUGUUAGGCAGUUUACUUAGUUCAAAUGGUUGUCCUGAUGCUGAUUUAGUAUUGAAGUUUGGUCCUGUGGACAGCACAUUAGGCUUUCUUCCCUGGCACAUCAGAUUGACUGAGAUUGUCUCUUUGCCUUCCCACCUAAACAUCAGUUAUGAAGAUAUUUUCUCUGCCCUUCGUCAACAUGCAGCCUGUGAACAGCGUCUGGGAAAGUAGUGGUCAUAGGUUUCAUAAUUUGAUUUUAGGCUUAUAGAGGAAAGGACCCAAGUGACUCUGAUGUUUACAAAGCACCUAUGAAACCCUGUACACACCUAGUUCGUAAUCCUCAUAAUUUAUCAGCAAA
Molecule: RNA transcript, 1039 nt
Organism: Cebus imitator (Panamanian white-faced capuchin)
Lineage: Eukaryota; Metazoa; Chordata; Mammalia; Primates; Cebidae
Gene name: dehydrodolichyl diphosphate synthase complex subunit NUS1-like
Exons: 2
Source: RefSeq, a predicted model, not a curated record